Molecule: ribosomal RNA, 147 nt
Filed under: Microbacterium sp.
Lineage: Bacteria; Bacillati; Actinomycetota; Actinomycetes; Micrococcales; Microbacteriaceae
Description: partial 16S ribosomal RNA
Rfam family: Bacterial small subunit ribosomal RNA
Source: RNAcentral
UUUACGGAGAGUUUGAUCCUGGCUCAGGAUGAACGCUGGCGGCGUGCUUAACACAUGCAAGUCGAACGGUGAAAGAGAGCUUGCUCUCUGGAUCAGUGGCGAACGGGUGAGUAACACGUGAGCAAUCUGCCCCUGACUCUGGGAUAA